AUGGCCAGCAACUCCAGUGCACUGCCCCGGGUGACUUUCCAGACGCCAGAGAAACCUGGGGAGGAAUCAUCACACAGGAAACUGGGCAAGUUGACCAUAAAGUACAACCGCAAAGACCUACAGCGCUGGCUGGACCUGGAGGAAUGGAUCAACGCCCAGCUGCAGGAGCUCUACCAAUGCCGGCUAAGGGAGGAAACAGAGGCAGCAGCGCCUGAACCACAAAUUGAUCUUGAAGAUCUCCUGGAGGUCCCUAAUGAAGAACAGAAAUUAAAACUACAGGAAAUCCUCCAUGAGUGCUCCAGCCCCACAGAGGACUUCAUUACAGAAUUGCUUAGUCGAUUGAGAGGUCUCCGGAGAGUCACCAAUCCUCAGAAGAAAUGACCUUGCUUACAUGGAACACCCAGCUUUGGUUAAAAGGAAACAUGUAUCUUCCUCACAAAAACCAGGAUCAGCAACAGAACUUCUGAAUAUGUUUAGGACUUAUUAUUAUUGAGAAACAACACCAAGUUUGUGAAAUUUGUACCAGCGCUUUGAAGCCUCCACUCCUUCCAGAUCUACACACACAGCAGGGAGAUAGACUUUAGCUGAUUUUCCUGAUUCUUAAAGAGUGUGUUAACCUGAGGAACAGUACAAGAUGUCCCUCUCCUUUAGAUUCUUCUAGGAAUUUCCAUGCAGGCCAAGGAGCACUGAAUACAAUUCUCAGGAGCUCAUCAAGACCUCUUUUCUUCGUCCACUGCAAGGAAAACAAGGCAUUGGUUACCAUUCAUUCAUCAACAUGGAAAAUCAGCCACUGUUAAGCUGCACCUCAUUUCAGUCUGGCUUGGGCCCAACUGUGAUCUCCUGCCUGUUACUGCUGUACCUGACUCUACAGCAUUGCACAUACUCUGUGUCAGUGAACAAACUGUGGGUUGUGUCCUCUGAGAGGACAAAAUCCAAGCUGCAGUAAAAACUCUGAUGUAAGGGCCUGUUUCCGUUCACAUGCUGCUCUUGUAUGACUGGAAGUUGACAAGCCAUGGACCUCAUGUCUUGUUCUAAGGCUGCUCCAAGAUGUUCUAAGGCUCACACACUAGGCUGGAGAAAUGGUCUUUCUUUACCAGGUCCAAUAUCUACCUAUGGGAGUCCUGGGAACGUGGCAUUUUUGGCUUAAAAAGGGGCUAAUGGAACAUGCCUACCCUCAUGAAAUCUCAACCUUAUAAGUAAAAUAACAACAAAAAAAUUAAAUGUAGAGCUGCAAUGGUUGCAGAUCUGGCAUUGCUUAUGGAUGACACCUGCUAAGACUCAUGUAACACAGCCCUUGAGAAAGGAGAGCAGCAUAUUGAGAAAAACCUCUACGCACUGUUAAAAACAGACUGGGAUCAAACAGAAG
RNA transcript from Hirundo rustica (Barn swallow), 1366 nucleotides. It is a transcript of the gene named protein phosphatase 1 regulatory inhibitor subunit 14D, with no coding region annotated. The record is from RefSeq and is a predicted model, not a curated record. Lineage: Eukaryota; Metazoa; Chordata; Aves; Passeriformes; Hirundinidae. The transcript is spliced from 5 exons.